Molecule: ribosomal RNA, 465 nt
Filed under: uncultured Klebsiella sp.
Lineage: Bacteria; Pseudomonadati; Pseudomonadota; Gammaproteobacteria; Enterobacterales; Enterobacteriaceae
Description: bacterial SSU rRNA
Rfam family: Bacterial small subunit ribosomal RNA
Source: RNAcentral
CCUACGGGAGGCAGCAGUGGGGAAUAUUGCACAAUGGGCGCAAGCCUGAUGCAGCCAUGCCGCGUGUGUGAAGAAGGCCUUCGGGUUGUAAAGCACUUUCAGCGGGGAGGAAGGCGGUGAGGUUAAUAACCUCAUCGAUUGACGUUACCCGCAGAAGAAGCACCGGCUAACUCCGUGCCAGCAGCCGCGGUAAUACGGAGGGUGCAAGCGUUAAUCGGAAUUACUGGGCGUAAAGCGCACGCAGGCGGUCUGUCAAGUCGGAUGUGAAAUCCCCGGGCUCAACCUGGGAACUGCAUUCGAAACUGGCAGGCUAGAGUCUUGUAGAGGGGGGUAGAAUUCCAGGUGUAGCGGUGAAAUGCGUAGAGAUCUGGAGGAAUACCGGUGGCGAAGGCGGCCCCCUGGACAAAGACUGACGCUCAGGUGCGAAAGCGUGGGGAGCAGACAGGAUUAGAUACCCUUGUAGUC